AUGGAUCCGGUUUCUCCCGGGUGUUUUGGGGGAUUUUCCGGGGGAUUUUUUUGGAUUUUUCCGGAUUUUUUUUCUGGGAUUUUCCUGGAAUUUUCCCAGGAUUUUCCUGGGAUUUUUCUGGGAUUUUUCUCUGGAUUUUUCUGGGAUUUUUCCAGGAUUUUCCCCAGGAUUUUCCUGGGAUUUUUCCAGGCUUUCCCUGGGAUGGAUCCGGUUUCUCCCAGGUGUUUGGAGGGAUUUGGGGGGGAAUUUUUGGCAUUUUCCCAGAUUUUUUUCUGGGAUUUUCCCAGAUUUUUUUCUGGGAUUUUCUCCAGGAUUUUCCCGGGAUCUUUCCCCGGGGUGGAUCCGGUUUCUCCCGGUGUUUGGGGGGAUUUUCCGGGGGAUUUUUUGGGAUUUUCCCGGAUUUUUUUUCUGGGAUUUUCCCGGGAUUUCCCCGGGAUUUUCCCGGGAUUUGGGGCUCUGAUCCCGGAUUUCCGGCUCCCCCCAGGCCGUGGCGCACUACGAGCAGGCGGCCGAUUAUUACCGAGGGGAGGAGGCCAGCAGGUACCGGCGCCGCCCGUCCCGACGGAUCCCAAACUGAAUUCCAACGGAUCCCGACCCAAAUUCCGAUGGAUCCCGGCCGAUCCCGACGGAUCCCGAGCCGAAUUCCAACGGAUCCCGGCUGAUCCUGACCAAUCCCGGCCAAUCCGGACCCAAAUUCCAACGGAUCCCGACGGAUCCCGGCCCAAAUCCCGACGGAUCCCGGCCGAUCCCGACGGAUCCCGAGCUGAAUUCCAACAGAUCCCGACCCAAAUCCCGACGGAUCCCGAUCCAAAUCCUGACGGAUCCCGACCCAAAAUCCGACAAAUCCCGGCCCAAAUUCCGACGGAUCCCGGCCCAAAUCCUGACGGAUCCCGAACCGAAUCCCGACGGGUCCUGGCCGAUCCCGGGGAUCCCCGCCCAAAAUCCGACAGAUCCCGACCCAAAUUCCGACGGAUCCCAACUGAUCCCAGCCCAAAUCCCGGCCAAUCCCAACCCAAAUUCCAACAGAUCUCCACCGAUCCCGGGGAUCCAAACCGAUCCCGGCCGAUCCCAAGGAUCCCAAACGAUCCUGGCUGA
Molecule: long non-coding RNA, 1095 nt
Filed under: Chloebia gouldiae (Gouldian finch)
Lineage: Eukaryota; Metazoa; Chordata; Aves; Passeriformes; Passeridae
Description: Erythrura gouldiae (Gouldian finch) lncRNA (ENSEGOG00005018621.1)
Source: RNAcentral